UCGUCGAGCAGGUCGGUUUCUCCGAAAUACUCUCCGUCGCCAAGCAGUGCGAUGCGCAGCUCCUCGCCGUGAGGACCCUUGCUGAUGACCUCAGCCUGUCCGCUGGCAACGAUAAAGAACUUCUGCUUGUCUUUUCCUUCCUCUACAAAGAGCUGUCCAAUCUCUACCUCGUUGGUUUCAAACGAGCGUGCCAGUCGUGUAACUAUCUCGUCGUCGAAGUCGGAGAACAGAGGAAUGGCCUUCAGGCUCUUUGCCGAGAACGACGGCACUCCGUUGAGGAACUGUAUUGGCAGCCGCUCGCUCUUUCGCAGCUCCACCUUGGUGCGGUUGACACGGAAGGUGCCUCCCGAGACCUGCACCCACGGCAGCAGCUUGAGCAGCAGGCGAGGAGUGAUGGAGCCCAUCUGUGGGGCUGUCUUGGUAGUGGUGGCCAGUCGUCUGGCGGUGGCAGUG
This 453-nucleotide non-coding RNA is filed under the name uncultured Prevotella sp. Lineage: Bacteria; Pseudomonadati; Bacteroidota; Bacteroidia; Bacteroidales; Prevotellaceae. The record is from RNAcentral.